This 465-nucleotide ribosomal RNA is filed under the name uncultured bacterium. RNAcentral describes it as "partial 16S ribosomal RNA". It matches the Rfam family "Bacterial small subunit ribosomal RNA", at positions 28 to 507 of the family's 1533-position model. The record is from RNAcentral.
GACGAACGCUGGCGGCGUGCUUAACACAUGCAAGUCGAACGGAAAGGCCCCUUUGGGGGUACUCGAGUGGCGAACGGGUGAGUAACACGUGAGUAACCUGCCCUUGACUUCGGGAUAACUUCAGGAAACUGGGGCUAAUACCGGAUAGGAAUCCUUGCUGCAUGGUGGGGGUUGGAAAGCUUCGGCGGUUUUGGAUGGACUCGCGGCUUAUCAGCUUGUUGGUGGGGUAGUGGCUUACCAAGGCUUUGACGGGUAGCCGGCCUGAGAGGGCGACCGGCCACAUUGGGACUGAGAUACGGCCCAGACUCCUACGGGAGGCAGCAGUGGGGAAUAUUGCACAAGGGGCGGAAGCCUGAUGCAGCAACGCCGCGGGCGGGAUGACGGCCUUCGGGUUGGAAACCGCUUUCAGCAGGGGCGAAGCUUGUGGUGACGGUACCUGCAGAAGAAGCACCGGCUAACUACGUG